UAUCAUCAUUCCCACAGACGUGAUGAAAGCAUUUCAUCUGCUCAUUUCAUCCAGGGUGGAAACCAAUUAUUGAGCAACUCCCCCAAUAUCUAAGGCCGAACAUGGACUGGAGAUGCAAACUAUGUUCUACGUCCCUGGAUACCUCGGCAAAGUUAUUUACACAUUAUCGUUUGCAACAUAGUCAGUAUUCAAGAGUCAGCCCACUGCCGUGCCUCUACAGCAAUU
Cyprinodon tularosa is the source of this 225-nucleotide long non-coding RNA. RefSeq lists it as uncharacterized. The transcript has 3 exons. NCBI's taxonomy places the organism in Eukaryota, Metazoa, Chordata, Actinopteri, Cyprinodontiformes, Cyprinodontidae. The record is from RefSeq and is a predicted model, not a curated record.